CGGAGAGGGCGCAUGACAAACGGCUACCACAUCCAAGGAAGGCAGCAGGCGCGCAAAUUACCCAAUCCCGACACGGGGAGGUAGUGACAAUAUGUAACAAUAUACGGCUUUAUUGUCGUAUAAUUGGAAUGAGUACAAUUUAAAUCCCUUAACGAGGAACAAUUGGAGGGCAAGUCUGGUGCCAGCAGCCGCGGUAAUUCCAGCUCCAAUAGCGUAUAUUAAAGUUGUUGCAGUUAAAAAGCUCGUAGUUGGACCUUGGGCCUGGACAGGCGGUCCGCCUCACGGCGUGUACUGUCUUGCUGGGCCUUUCCUCUUGGUGAUCUGUGGUUUCGGCCGCAGGGAACCAGGACCUUUACUUUGAAAAAAUUAGAGUGUUCAAAGCAGGCUUUACGCCAGAAUAUAUUAGCAUGGAAUAAUAAAAUAGGACGUGCGGUUCUAUUUUGUUGGUUUUUGGGAUCGCCGUAAUGAUUAAUAGGGACAGUCGGGGGCAUUAGUACUCACAUGCUAGAGGUGAAAUUCUUGGAUUUUGUGAAGACUAACUUCUGCCGAAGCAUUUGUCAGGGAUGUUUUCUUUAAUCAGGAACGAAAGUUAGGGUAUCGAAA
RNAcentral lists this ribosomal RNA (603 nucleotides) under uncultured organism. RNAcentral's name for it is "SSU rRNA". It matches the Rfam family "Eukaryotic small subunit ribosomal RNA", at positions 384 to 1003 of the family's 1831-position model. The record is from RNAcentral.